This 19-nucleotide small nuclear RNA is filed under the name Arabidopsis thaliana (thale cress). RNAcentral's name for it is "snRNA_08764". The record is from RNAcentral. Lineage: Eukaryota; Viridiplantae; Streptophyta; Magnoliopsida; Brassicales; Brassicaceae.
UCGGCGUUCGAAUUGUAGU